This 32-nucleotide non-coding RNA is filed under the name Rattus norvegicus (Norway rat). Lineage: Eukaryota; Metazoa; Chordata; Mammalia; Rodentia; Muridae. The record is from RNAcentral.
UGCCAUGAUGGUUUGAACCAGCACAAGCCUUU